RNAcentral lists this unclassified non-coding RNA (304 nucleotides) under Hevea brasiliensis (rubber tree). Lineage: Eukaryota; Viridiplantae; Streptophyta; Magnoliopsida; Malpighiales; Euphorbiaceae. The record is from RNAcentral.
AUCAUCAUCAUCAUCAUCAUCGUUGUACUGUGCUAAUACCAGGUUGCCAACUACAUCUCUAAAUUUACAACUUUGCCACAUCUCUCAAAAAGUCCCAUUUCUUAGCUAUCCACUUGUCCGAAACUGGACUCCCAAUUCCCAUCAUCACGAAAAAACAAUACCCACAAAGUGGGAGUCACUCUCUUACCCGUUUAGGUCAUUGGCGAUCAAAGCCUCAUUAAUGGCAUCCUCCACUGAGACUGAGACCAAACCAUUCUCUGUCCUCUUUGUAUGCUUAGGAAACAUUUGUAGAAGCCCAGCUGCU